This 30-nucleotide non-coding RNA is filed under the name Mus musculus (house mouse). Lineage: Eukaryota; Metazoa; Chordata; Mammalia; Rodentia; Muridae. The record is from RNAcentral.
UACUUACGCACACACGCACAUGUAUAUGUA